This 361-nucleotide long non-coding RNA is filed under the name Sorghum bicolor (sorghum). RNAcentral's name for it is "long non-coding RNA (SBIC_LNC012229)". Lineage: Eukaryota; Viridiplantae; Streptophyta; Magnoliopsida; Poales; Poaceae. The record is from RNAcentral.
ACCAACAGGGCCUUGUUCUCGGCCACGACGCCUUCUAUCUGGUCAAAGCACCGUUUCCGGUACUUCGCCGUUUUCAUUGCGCCCUACAAAACGAACAUAUGACGACCAAGCAAGACAACGCACAGAAUGUACAGCAGUACGAAGAGUCGCUUACCUUGACUUCGUCGACAAGGCGUUUGGCCACACGCUCCACCUUGGCGGCCUCUUCGGUCUCGGCGAGCUCCUCAUGACCGAUAAAGUGAUCCCCGCGUUUGCGCCACACAUACACGUGUUGGCGGCCAUCACGGGGACGACCCUCAAUUUCCUCUACCUCGUCGUCGGAGGCCGCCUGGGUUUCCUCCUCCCGCGCUGUGUUGCCCCC